AAAGGAAGAACUUCCCUGAGGCUUUGUUUCAGAAACCUUGGGCCUAGCGCGUGAGGCCACCCCUGGAGAGUGCAGAGUCUGGGACAAUCAUCUCUCCCGCCUGCGGGUCAGCCUGGCCGUGGCCAAACACAGACGCCAUAUCACAAGGCCCCUCAGCCCAAGGCAGGGCGGCCAGCCUCACAGCUUGUCCCGAAGCCUGAGACUUGGUUUCUGUUCCUGUCUUGCCCAGAGGGCCCUUGGAGCUGCAGCCUGAGGGGGUGCUGGGGUGGGGGCGGUCGAGACCCUGGUCACUGCCACAUGGUUCCCACCUUCGGCCACUGCGUUCUCCCCCCAGACACAGGGGAGCGGCUGCGGACAGGUGGCUGCGCCACGGAGUGCCGAACAACCCGCUGGGGACACCACAGUGCCGGGCACAGAAUAGCAGCUGUCACGGCCAGGGCAGGAGC
Long non-coding RNA from Homo sapiens (human), 446 nucleotides. NCBI's taxonomy places the organism in Eukaryota, Metazoa, Chordata, Mammalia, Primates, Hominidae. The record is from Ensembl.